Odocoileus virginianus texanus is the source of this 1630-nucleotide non-coding RNA. The record is from RefSeq and is a predicted model, not a curated record. Lineage: Eukaryota; Metazoa; Chordata; Mammalia; Artiodactyla; Cervidae.
CCUGCAUGGGAACGGAGCUAUUUGGUUUUGAAUUUUCUUCCCCUGAGUCCUGAAAAAUAGGAGACACUUCAUCAGGUGGCAUCUUUCUUCAGAGGGUUUUUACAAAAUCUCUUGCGGGGAGAGAAGCCAGGAGAUCUUUUGAAAGUGAUCGUCUUGAGCCUUCACUGUGGGCUUGUUCGAGAAGACAUUUCAUGAACACCCCACGACCUGCUCGGGGUUAAUUUUCCGCAUGUGUCAGGAGGGCCAAAAUGACUUUGUAUUGCUGAUGGCAGCUUGGACUUGCAACAACCCGUGGUUGAGACAUCUAGGGAUUUUGAAAUAAAGCGAGGAAUGGGAUUAAAAAAAGGGGGACAGAACUUUUCCCCCCUCCGCCUGGCUUAUGCCUGCUCUUCAGAGCCUUGGAAGUGGAGUGCCCUGGGGAUAUUUUUAAACAUCAGGAGCUAGUUCAUUUGAAAGUGACAUUUAUAGUCACCGCAAUGAGCAGCUGGCUAGCUGACAUUCAGAUCCUCAGCAAAAAGGGAACCCAGAAAACAGCCUGGAUGCCCAGUUGAAAGGACAUGGGGAAAGGAAAGAGGCAGAGGUAAGUGAUUUUCUGAAUGAUUCUGCUUCUUUUUCUAUAUUGUCUGAUUUUCUCCUGCCUGACCCUUUCCCGAUUAAAAAGCUGGGGGAAAAUGUCAGACUCCAAGCAAGUCACCAAGAGUAAACGGAAAGUGAGCUUCAGCCCCAGUCAGGAGCCGAUUCCAGCCUCAGUCAGCUCCCAGGAGCCGCCACAGGAAGACUGCAACAGCAACCCUCUGCCAGAGACCCCUAGCCAGGCUGAGCCGGCCUCCCACAAAGGACCCCAAGACACCUGCCAGCAGAGAAACUCCCAAUCGCCCCCGCCGCAGGAUCCCCAAGGAAACCCCCUCUCGUCUGAAUACGCCUCCCCAGCAUGCCAAGCCAGCGGGUCGGGGACCGAAGGCCUGGAGCUCCCGAACACCAGUGGCCUGCCCACGCCAGCCAGGCCCCAGGGCCAGCGAGCCAGAGCCCUCUGCAGAGAAGACAGGAAGCAGGCACACAUCAGGAGACAGCUGAUGACCGACUUCAUCCUGGGAUCCUUCGACGAUAACUCCUCUGACGAGGACGCCGCUGCUGGCUUGUUCCAGCAAUCUUCUCGGAAGGGCAGCCGGGCCAGCCUGGGGGCCCUGUGUCUGGAGACCGCUCAGGCCGCAGGCGAGACUGAGACCUCCACCUCCGUCAUAAGGUAACGGACACUUUGUCCUUGUAACCAGGAGGUGCAGUGUUGGGGUGGGGUCCAUACCCUUCCCUGCUCAGCCAAGCAACCGGCUGUGCCAGUGCUUUGAGGGUGGCUAUGUGGCAAGCAGGAGACAUGAGCCUCCCCCCGCCUUCCUUCCCUCCUCUCAAAAUCAUUUGUUGAGUAUAUCCUGUGAGUACAGGGCUCCAGGCCAGGACACUGGCUUUCCAGAAGACUGUGGUCUAGUUGGGGCAGAUGACCUUGUAUGUAACAACUAAUUAUAAUCUGUCACGCGAGUGUAUGCUCCUCGGUUCUUUGUCUCGUCACAACAAAAAUUUGGAGUGACGGACAUUGAAGCCCCCUCGGCGGGUUGCAGCUCUCAGAGGACAGCCCGUG